UACGAAGGGGGCUAGCGUUGUUCGGAAUUACUGGGCGUAAAGGGCGCGCAGGCGGCCCUUCAAGUCAGGCGUGAAAGCCCCGGGCUCAACCUGGGAACGGCGCGCGAGACGGGGGGGCUGGAGUUCGGGAGAGGAGCGUGGAAUUCCCAGUGUAGAGGUGAAAUUCGUAGAUAUUGGGAAGAACACCGGUGGCGAAGGCGGCGACCUGGUCCUUGACUGACGCUGAGGCGCGAAAGCGUGGGGAGCAAACAGG
RNAcentral lists this ribosomal RNA (253 nucleotides) under uncultured bacterium. RNAcentral's name for it is "partial 16S ribosomal RNA". It matches the Rfam family "Bacterial small subunit ribosomal RNA", at positions 524 to 776 of the family's 1533-position model. The record is from RNAcentral.